GUUCCUUUCGGCGCAUAUCUGCCGAUGCGUUAUGUUUGCAUACUGGCUAUGUGAUUUGAUCGAUCGCCGGUUUCCUGUGAGAAACACAGGUUGUUUGUCGAGUCAGGUGGCUUGGGUGCAUUACCGUUAAUUAUGUGUGUCCGACAGUCGAGACCGCACACACUCAGUUCUGAUAAGGCUAGUCUACCAUCUAAGACAGCAUCGCCAUUCACCACCAGUGAGAUUGCAUUGCUAAGUUUUAGUGGAAGCAAUAAAAAUACCUUUGAACAAUAUUUUGACAAGAACAGCAACCGUUCAUAAAACAAAGCACACCGCUACAGCUACUCGUUUGCGCUUGACCACGAUUGCGAGUGUAAGAUUCCGGAUACCUGAAAAGUAUAACAGUAGUAGGUACCGAAACCAUAUCCCUUUAUUCAUUUUCCAACGUCCUGAACAUCAACAUUUAGCCCC
Molecule: long non-coding RNA, 450 nt
Organism: Pararge aegeria (speckled wood butterfly)
Lineage: Eukaryota; Metazoa; Arthropoda; Insecta; Lepidoptera; Nymphalidae
Exons: 3
Source: RefSeq, a predicted model, not a curated record